Non-coding RNA from Phrynosoma platyrhinos (Desert horned lizard), 72 nucleotides. The record is from the annotation of a GenBank genome assembly. NCBI's taxonomy places the organism in Eukaryota, Metazoa, Chordata, Lepidosauria, Squamata, Phrynosomatidae.
ACCAGCAUGGCUUAGUGGUUUAAGUGUUGGACUGUGAUUCUGGAGAGGACGGUUUGAUUCCCUGUUCAGGCA